CUUUUUCCUCAUUAAACUCUGUGUAAUCCCCACCUCUCUCAUGAAUAUAGAGAUAUAUGUGCAGUCGGUAGCUGUGUUUAGGAAACAGCGGCAUCUUGUGGCCAAACAGCAGAAUGUCAGUCCAGAACAUUUAAUUUAAU
This is a long non-coding RNA of Bufo bufo (common toad), 140 nucleotides long. RefSeq lists it as uncharacterized. The record is from RefSeq and is a predicted model, not a curated record. Lineage: Eukaryota; Metazoa; Chordata; Amphibia; Anura; Bufonidae. The transcript has 3 exons.